GACGAACGCUGGCGGCGUGAUUAACACCUGCAAGUCGAACUAAGUGGCGAACGGGUGAGUAACGCGUAAUCAACCUGCCCUUCAGAGGGGGAAAACAGUUGGAAACGACUGCUAAUAACGCAUACUGAAGGCGGGGAUUGCGUCUGAUUGGUUAGUUGGGGGGGAACGGGCCCACCAAGGCGAUGAUCAGUAGCCGGUCUGUGAGGAUGAACGGCCACAUUGGGACUGAGACACGGCCCAGACUCCUACGGGAGGCAGCAGUGGGGAAUCUUCCGCAAUGGACGAAAGUCUGACGGAGCAACGCCGCGUGAGGGAUGACGGCCUUCGGGUUGUAAAGCGCUGUUAAUCGGGACGCGGUACCGGAAUAGAAAGCCACGGCUAACUACGUGCCAGCCGCCGCGGUAAUAC
This 408-nucleotide ribosomal RNA is filed under the name uncultured bacterium. RNAcentral describes it as "partial 16S ribosomal RNA". It matches the Rfam family "Bacterial small subunit ribosomal RNA", at positions 28 to 526 of the family's 1533-position model. The record is from RNAcentral.